Molecule: ribosomal RNA, 372 nt
Filed under: uncultured organism
Description: partial 16S ribosomal RNA
Rfam family: Bacterial small subunit ribosomal RNA
Source: RNAcentral
GUAGGUGGCAAGCGUUGUCCGGAAUUAUUGGGCGUAAAGCGCGCGCAGGCGGUUCUUUAAGUCUGAUGUGAAAGCCCACGGCUCAACCGUGGAGGGUCAUUGGAAACUGGAGAACUUGAGUACAGAAGAGGAAAGCGGAAUUCCACGUGUAGCGGUGAAAUGCGUAGAGAUGUGGAGGAACACCAGUGGCGAAGGCGGCUUUUUGGUCUGUAACUGACGCUGAGGCGCGAAAGCGUGGGGAGCAAACAGGGAUUAGAUACCCUGGUAGUCCACGCCGUAAACGAUGAGUGCUAAGUGUUAGGGGGUUUCCGCCCCCUUAGUGCUGCAGCUAACGCAUUAAGCACUCCGCCUGGGGAUACGGCCGCAAGGCUG